Aquila chrysaetos chrysaetos is the source of this 5230-nucleotide RNA transcript. It is a transcript of the gene named ASPSCR1 tether for SLC2A4, UBX domain containing, with no coding region annotated. The transcript has 15 exons. The record is from RefSeq and is a predicted model, not a curated record. Lineage: Eukaryota; Metazoa; Chordata; Aves; Accipitriformes; Accipitridae.
GCCGCGGCGGGAGGGAAGAUGGCGGCGGCGGGCGGGGGGGGUGCCGUGGUGUCGGUGCUGGCCCCCAGCGGGCGGCGGGUCACGGUGCGGGUGGGGCCCGGCACGGUGCUGCUGCAGAUCCUCGAGGAGGUCUGCAGGAAGCAGGGCGGCAGCCCCGGCGAGUACGGCCUGAAGUUUCAGAGGAGUGUGUUGGAUCUCUCUUUACAGUGGAGAUUUGCCAGACUGCCCAACAAUGCCAAGCUGGAGAUGGUGCCAGUCUCUAAUAGAGUGGGAAUUGGAAACACGGUUCGGAUUGCAUUACAAUUAGAUGAUGGCUCCCGUUUACAAGACACCUUUCUCUGUCAACAGACUUUGUGGGAACUUCUCAACCAUUUUGCCAAGAUCAGGGAGCUUAUGGAACAGCAUGGUGAAUUCUCUCCAGUCUGUAUUUACAUGAGAGAUGAGAUAUCAGGAAAAGAUGCCCUAGAGAAGACAACACUGAAGUCACUUGGCCUGACUGGAGGCAGUGCCAUCAUCAGAGUUGUCAUGAAGAAAUGCAGUUCAUCUGGUCGAGAGGAAGCUGUGGGUGCCACGGUGCAGUGUAAUGAGCUGACAGUGAGGCCAGGCUCUAUUGAAGGAGCAGUGGAUGUGCCCCUACCUCAAGCAAACACAUUCCCAAAGGACUUGGACCACAGGGAUGUGGCCAUGUCUUUGAACAGCUGCACAGACAAGCAAGACUUGGUUAGAGAAUCUCAUGCCAGCUUGGAGGAGCUGUGGCCUUCCUCAGAACCCGAGUCUACCCCUUUUGUCCCUUUUUUUGGAGAUGGACAGCGUCUGGGGGACUCUUCUGUAGCUGCACCAUCUCUUGGGUUAGAUAUGCCAUCUUCAAAGCUGCCAACAACUUUUUCCAGCCCCGGAGGCCCUUCUAAGCCAAAGAAGUCUAAGAACAGCCAAGAACUGCAAAAGGAGCAAGAACAGCUUGUAGAACGAGAGCCACUUGUAUGUCACCUAGACCUACUAGAACCACUUUCUGCUGGCCCAGAAGAGCUUCCUGAUGAGUUUUUUGAAGUCACAGUGGAUGAUGUACGGAAACGUUUGGCACAGCUGCAGAGUGAGAGGAAACGCCUGGAAGAAGCUCCACUGAUGACAAAAUCUUUGAGGGAGGCUCAGCUGAAGGAGAAGUUAGAGCGUUACCCAAAGGUGGUAUUGAGAGUCCGUUUUCCAGACCGUCACGUUCUACAGGGGUUCUUCCGUCCUAGUGAAACUGUUGGCAUUUUGAGAGACUUUGUCAGAAGCCACCUUGCAGAUGCAGACUUGCCAUUUUACUUGUUUAUUGCACCUCCCAGAACCAUCUUGAACGAUGAAAGUUUGACACUCUUUGAGGAUUUUUUGAAUGCGUGUGUCUGGAGAUACCUAGUGAAGGAGUAAGUAUCGAGAUGUUAUUUGGGGAGGGUCCUGCCUGAAAUGUUUUCUGUGCUCUAGAGAACAAGUUACUAAAACAUGCAGUAGAACAAAGCAGAAAUGUUUCUCUUGCGUGUCGCAGCUGGAUUCACAGGGGAAUGUUGUUCUAGUGUAGAUAUUUUUAUCAUGGAAUGCAAGAUGCAGUAGCCCCAGUAUACCACUCUACAGCCAGGAUGCCCUGCUGUCAUAAACCACGCUCACCACUAUGGUGUCUGAGAAACUGCACUAUGUGUGUCUGAAAUAAAACUUUGAGUUACUUAGCUACAUGGUUUCAGACUAAAUGUGGCUUUGUGAGUAACCGGCUGGUCUUCAGCUUUCAGAAAUGGAAAGCGUUCAUUUAAACUUCUGCAACUGUAACUAAGUAAAUUGAUGAAGCUGUGCUAUUUAGAUCUUUUUAAAAUCUGAGGAGUUGGACAUUUGGAAUGAUACUCCUUAAGGGGGGGGGGCAGGACAGUAAGCAGAACAUUGGCUUCCUCCACUUCUUGCCUCAUCAGUGACUUUCUGAUUCCUUCGGAAGAAAGCUGUCCUGUGAUUAAGGCCUUGGAUGGGACUCUGGAGACUUAUAUACGUAGUUCUCAUUUCUGCUACUGCCAUCCUGUGUGACCUUGAAUAAAUUAUUUAAUCUCUUUAGGUCUCAGUUUUUCAUUUGUACAAAAAAAAAAAAAAAACCAAACCCAAAAAAACGAAAUCUCAUACUUUCUUACAUUUUUAUUUAUAUUGCAUGUUGCUGCUUAUUACACAUAUAUAACUGUACAAUGGGAUACCAUUUUCAAUUGGAUCUCUAGGUCCUGGUGCAAUAAAAAUAAUAAUCUAACUGUACUUUGUAAAUAUGCCUUGCACAGUGUGAUUUGAACAUUAUAAUUUGAUAGAUUAAUAGCAUCUAUUUUCCCAGUCAGAAUGGUAUUGUAUCUUUGGUUGGAAAUCAAAGCAGCAAGGAAGAGAACUGCUGGAUAUUUGAGUAUAGUAACUAGCUGUUGACGAAUUCAUAUUGUAGUAAUUCUUCACAUAUAACUGAAUGGAGUUUUUUGAAUAUUUGUUUCAAACAGCCUAUGAUUCUUCUGGUCAAUCUGACAGGCUCAGUGUGACUCUAAGAGGUUUCUAAAUCUGUUUGAUUCACAGAUAUUCUUAUAAGAAUCCUAUGCAGUGAGGUUAAGAACUGCAGAGUUCUUCUAGAGACAUUGAUAAAUGCAUUAGAACAACUGCAAAUGAGGAAGUACCACCUGACUUGAGAAUAUAGUUUUCAGGUAAUGGUCUGCCCAGUAUUUGAUCCUUGCAUUCUUAGCAGUGUUAGGGAACACUAAAGGCUCCAACUUUGGGUUUGUAUGUUUUCCUGGACUGCAGCUACUAAAGCCUUCACAUCUUUAUGCCAAGACAUUCUUUGGCCAGUGGGAUCAUUCCACUGGCUUUUUUUUUUUUUUUUUUUUUUUUAAUAAUGUGAAAUUGGUGCUAAUUUAAAUACUUUCGUGUUACAAAAAAAAAAUCUCAGACAGCGUUAUGUCCUGCCAGUGACUGGCUGGAGAAUUCUUGGGGUGAUCAGUGAGAUGUAGCUAGCUGCCUUCUGUACUGAACCCUCAGUAGGUACUGAAACUGGGAUGGUACCUGAGAAUUCUGCACAAAGGAAACAAGACAAAGGGUUGUAUGACUGAGCAAGUAGUCUUACUUGAAUUGAAGAAAAAGAACUUAUUGGAUGUAAAUUUGGCAAGAGGGGACUCUGUGUUGGCUGACCCCUAGGAAAGGAUAGUCAUGCAGGGAAAUGAGCCAUGGGAAGGAGGUUGCAUUCUGUAUACUUGUGAGCUGCUGUCUAGUUCCUUUAAGUUUCUUUCAAUUAAAACAUUUUGAACUGAAACAUUUGGACUGAUGUUUUGCCAGCAGUGGGAAAUGGUUGUGGACGUGGAUUCUGAAACUUAGAACUAUGGUUAUUUGUCAACCUGUGAGUAAAUAGGGUAGAGGUUUAUAUUGGGGCACAUUCUGUCUGUGUGUUUGUGUGGUUGAGUGUGUCUGUCUAGCUCUUCGUCUGUCUUUCUCACUCUCUUUUUCUCUUUGUGCCUCAUGCAGGCCCUGCCAUGAAUUUUCUCUGACCCCUUGGGGCCAUUCCCACAUGAAGCUUUGAUGUGUGUGCCCAGAGCUUGAUUGACAAGGAAGUUUCGGUGGCGGCAGCAGGGAAACGAAGAGAAAAGGGCAGGGCUUUGAACUAAAGGGCUUUGAGCUCUGAGAUGCUGUGCUUACUUAUCUCCUUCAGAAUGUUAAUUAUUUACCAAGAUAAUUGGUCGGGAGGGGAAAAAAAGAGAGGGGAGGUUAUUAAAAAAUUCCAACACUAACACGCUACAAAAACCUCAUUUUCCAACUUGCAGCUGGCAUGAAAAGGAUGUUGUGUGUAAAAGGGCUUGAGUGUAUGUGUGUUGGGGGGGCAGGGGGGGCCUUGCUAAGGCACCCAUUUCCUAAAUAGAGGGAUCCCUUCAGACGAAUGCAGCGGAAACAUCAAAGCUCUUGCAGGAGUUUUCUCUGGGGUUUCUAAACUGUGUCUGGUACUUUUUAAUUAAAAAAGUUUAUGGAGAGCCGUCUUUGUGACUGGAGCAGGCAACCUUAGGCCCUGCUGAUUGAGGAAUGAAAUGUUAAAAGACCUAAUAAAUAAUGAUUUCUGCUAAAAUGUCAGUUCAAGGAUGUGAAGAUGCCUGGCUACUUUAGCAGGAUCUGAGACUUGGAGUAGACUGAUGAAUGUCUCCUGCUUCAGCCUAACAUGAUGUAGGCCAUACUGUAUGUGAAAGUCUCCUACAGCCUUUGGAUUAAUGUAAAAAAAUUUGUAAUACCACAUACUCAUUUGAAGUUUGUAGUCAGGAAGAUAGGUGAAACUGUUUCAUUUUGUCUCCAGUUAAUGCAGUUUUAUUAGUCUCUGUAUUAGGUAGCAAUCCACAGGCUCCUCCAUGAAGAUCAGGGUUCCUUUGAGUUCUGGUAAUUGCUGUGCUGGAUCAGGUCCAAGGACUGUCAUUCCAGUAUCCUGACUGUGCUGAUGGUGGCAACAGAGGUUCAAGAAAACUCCAGAGCAGGCAGCCUGCCCUGCACAGUUCCUAAGUAUGCGUUAAUGAUAUGAAGAGGGGCAGUUGCUUGCUUUUAUUUAUUCAUUUAUUGGAUCAAGGUGAGAAAUUUAGUGUUACUGUUUUGCCAGAGUAAAUGUAGACCAUUAAUCAACAUUUUCUGUACAGUUUCUGGCUAUGACAGUAUUUACCUCUUUUACACUAUGAUGAAUUGGUUUCUUUACCUGUCUCUUAGUAUAAGGCCUUCUGAAAGCUUAAAAUAAUUGUUUCAGCUGGUUUUUCUUUAUGUAGUAUUAUACUGAUGUGUUAAUUCUGGUAAUAAGUGUGAUAUUUUUCUUUCAGAAUCCUUACUGGUACAGCUGGUUACACCAUAUCAUAUUAAUCUUCCACAUAUCACCUUCAAACCCUUUCAAAAAUACAAGCCUGUGCUUGCAGCAGUGUCUGUUUUUAGUGCGAAGCUUAAUAAUUUUAAAUCUCUUACUCUGCAGUCCCUUGAGAACACUUGGAUGUACCAUCUGGACAUGGUGAUAUAGUGCUUGUUAAUGUACCACUUAGUUCCAGCACCAUUUUUUUCUACUGCUUCAGUUUCUUUGAGGGUGUGAUGUCACACUAUAAUCACUAGAAGUGGCAGAGCAAGCUUCAUAGGCUAAACUCUUUCCAACUGCUGUCAUUCAUUUUGGAUCUGAGGAGUACAGGGAUUGUUACCUGAAAUCGGACCUGCUGAGCUCUGCAGUUUCCCCUUCUGCAGCUGAUUUAUU